This 3002-nucleotide ribosomal RNA is filed under the name Klebsiella pneumoniae. Its description in RNAcentral is "23S ribosomal RNA". It matches the Rfam family "Bacterial large subunit ribosomal RNA". Lineage: Bacteria; Pseudomonadati; Pseudomonadota; Gammaproteobacteria; Enterobacterales; Enterobacteriaceae. The record is from RNAcentral.
GGGUUGUGAGGUUAAGCGACUAAGCGUACACGGUGGAUGCCCUGGCAGUCAGAGGCGAUGAAGGACGUGCUAAUCUGCGAAAAGCGUCGGUAAGGUGAUAUGAACCGUUAUAACCGGCGAUGUCCGAAUGGGGAAACCCAGUGCAAUUCGUUGCACUAUCGUUAACUGAAUACAUAGGUUAACGAGGCGAACCGGGGGAACUGAAACAUCUAAGUACCCCGAGGAAAAGAAAUCAACCGAGAUUCCCCCAGUAGCGGCGAGCGAACGGGGAGCAGCCCAGAGUCUGAAUCAGCUUGUGUGUUAGUGGAACGGUCUGGAAAGUCCGACGGUACAGGGUGAUAGUCCCGUACACCAAAAUGCACAGGCUGUGAACUCGAAGAGUAGGGCGGGACACGUGGUAUCCUGUCUGAAUAUGGGGGGACCAUCCUCCAAGGCUAAAUACUCCUGACUGACCGAUAGUGAACCAGUACCGUGAGGGAAAGGCGAAAAGAACCCCGGCGAGGGGAGUGAAAAAGAACCUGAAACCGUGUACGUACAAGCAGUGGGAGCACCUUCGGGUGUGACUGCGUACCUUUUGUAUAAUGGGUCAGCGACUUAUAUUCUGUAGCAAGGUUAACCGUAUAGGGGAGCCGCAGGGAAACCGAGUCUUAACUGGGCGUUAAGUUGCAGGGUAUAGACCCGAAACCCGGUGAUCUAGCCAUGGGCAGGUUGAAGGUUGGGUAACACUAACUGGAGGACCGAACCGACUAAUGUUGAAAAAUUAGCGGAUGACUUGUGGCUGGGGGUGAAAGGCCAAUCAAACCGGGAGAUAGCUGGUUCUCCCCGAAAGCUAUUUAGGUAGCGCCUCGUGAAUUCAUCUUCGGGGGUAGAGCACUGUUUCGGCUAGGGGGUCAUCCCGACUUACCAACCCGAUGCAAACUACGAAUACCGAAGAAUGUUAUCACGGGAGACACACGGCGGGUGCUAACGUCCGUCGUGAAGAGGGAAACAACCCAGACCGCCAGCUAAGGUCCCAAAGUCAUGGUUAAGUGGGAAACGAUGUGGGAAGGCACAGACAGCCAGGAUGUUGGCUUAGAAGCAGCCAUCAUUUAAAGAAAGCGUAAUAGCUCACUGGUCGAGUCGGCCUGCGCGGAAGAUGUAACGGGGCUAAACUGUGCACCGAAGCUGCGGCAGCGAACGUAUCACUUAAAACGAUUUCAGUGACGAUUGACGGAGCGAAGCGACGUCAAAGCGUUUACAAAGUCGAGUCGGUUUAAGGAUACGUUCGUUGGGUAGGGGAGCGUUCUGUAAGCCUGCGAAGGUGUGCUGUGAGGCAUGCUGGAGGUAUCAGAAGUGCGAAUGCUGACAUAAGUAACGAUAAAGCGGGUGAAAAGCCCGCUCGCCGGAAGACCAAGGGUUCCUGUCCAACGUUAAUCGGGGCAGGGUGAGUCGACCCCUAAGGCGAGGCCGAAAGGCGUAGUCGAUGGGAAACAGGUUAAUAUUCCUGUACUUGGUGUUACUGCGAAGGGGGGACGGAGAAGGCUAUGUUAGCCGGGCGACGGUUGUCCCGGUUUAAGCAUGUAGGCUGGUUGUCCAGGCAAAUCCGGAUAAUCAAGGCUGAGGUGUGAUGACGAGGCACUACGGUGCUGAAGUAACAAAUGCCCUGCUUCCAGGAAAAGCCUCUAAGCAUCAGGUAACAUUAAAUCGUACCCCAAACCGACACAGGUGGUCAGGUAGAGAAUACCAAGGCGCUUGAGAGAACUCGGGUGAAGGAACUAGGCAAAAUGGUGCCGUAACUUCGGGAGAAGGCACGCUGGUGUGUAGGUGAAGUCCCUGCGGAUGGAGCUGAGACCAGUCGAAGAUACCAGCUGGCUGCAACUGUUUAUUAAAAACACAGCACUGUGCAAACACGAAAGUGGACGUAUACGGUGUGACGCCUGCCCGGUGCCGGAAGGUUAAUUGAUGGGGUUAUCCGUAAGGAGAAGCUCUUGAUCGAAGCCCCGGUAAACGGCGGCCGUAACUAUAACGGUCCUAAGGUAGCGAAAUUCCUUGUCGGGUAAGUUCCGACCUGCACGAAUGGCGUAAUGAUGGCCAGGCUGUCUCCACCCGAGACUCAGUGAAAUUGAACUCGCUGUGAAGAUGCAGUGUACCCGCGGCAAGACGGAAAGACCCCGUGAACCUUUACUAUAGCUUGACACUGAACAUUGAGCCUUGAUGUGUAGGAUAGGUGGGAGGCUUUGAAGCGUGGACGCCAGUCUGCGUGGAGCCAACCUUGAAAUACCACCCUUUAAUGUUUGAUGUUCUAACGUUGGCCCCUGACCGGGGUUGCGGACAGUGUCUGGUGGGUAGUUUGACUGGGGCGGUCUCCUCCCAAAGCGUAACGGAGGAGCACGAAGGUUAGCUAAUCCUGGUCGGACAUCAGGAGGUUAGUGCAAUGGCAUAAGCUAGCUUGACUGCGAGCGUGACGGCGCGAGCAGGUGCGAAAGCAGGUCAUAGUGAUCCGGUGGUUCUGAAUGGAAGGGCCAUCGCUCAACGGAUAAAAGGUACUCCGGGGAUAACAGGCUGAUACCGCCCAAGAGUUCAUAUCGACGGCGGUGUUUGGCACCUCGAUGUCGGCUCAUCACAUCCUGGGGCUGAAGUAGGUCCCAAGGGUAUGGCUGUUCGCCAUUUAAAGUGGUACGCGAGCUGGGUUUAGAACGUCGUGAGACAGUUCGGUCCCUAUCUGCCGUGGGCGCUGGAGAAUUGAGGGGGGCUGCUCCUAGUACGAGAGGACCGGAGUGGACGCAUCACUGGUGUUCGGGUUGUCAUGCCAAUGGCACUGCCCGGUAGCUAAAUGCGGAAGAGAUAAGUGCUGAAAGCAUCUAAGCACGAAACUUGCCCCGAGAUGAGUUCUCCCUGAGACUUUAAGUCUCCUGAAGGAACGUUGAAGACGACGACGUUGAUAGGCCGGGUGUGUAAGCGCAGCGAUGCGUUGAGCUAACCGGUACUAAUGAACCGUGAGGCUUAACCUUACAACGCCGAAG